RNAcentral lists this ribosomal RNA (872 nucleotides) under Metarhizium anisopliae. Its description in RNAcentral is "partial large subunit ribosomal RNA". It matches the Rfam family "Eukaryotic large subunit ribosomal RNA", at positions 46 to 941 of the family's 3401-position model. The record is from RNAcentral. Lineage: Eukaryota; Fungi; Ascomycota; Sordariomycetes; Hypocreales; Clavicipitaceae.
AUAAGCGGAGGAAAAGAAACCAACAGGGAUUGCCCCAGUAACGGCGAGUGAAGCGGCAACAGCUCAAAUUUGAAAUCUGGUCCCCAGGGCCCGAGUUGUAAUUUGCAGAGGAUGCUUUUGGUGAGGUGCCUUCCGAGUUCCCUGGAACGGGACGCCAUAGAGGGUGAGAGCCCCGUCUGGUUGGAUACCGAGCCUCUGUAAAGCUCCUUCGACGAGUCGAGUAGUUUGGGAAUGCUGCUCUAAAUGGGAGGUAUAUGUCUUCUAAAGCUAAAUAUUGGCCAGAGACCGAUAGCGCACAAGUAGAGUGAUCGAAAGAUGAAAAGCACUUUGAAAAGAGGGUUAAAUAGUACGUGAAAUUGUUGAAAGGGAAGCACUUAUGACCAGACUUGGCCCCGGUGAAUCAUCCAGCGGUUCCCGCUGGUGCACUUUGCCGGGGUUCAGGCCAGCAUCAGUUCGCUCCGGGGGAUAAAGGCUUUGGGAAUGUGGCUCCCUCGGGAGUGUUAUAGCCCAUUGCGUAAUACCCUGUGGCGGGCUGAGGUUCGCGCUUUAUGCAAGGAUGCUGGCAUAAUGGUCAUCAGUGACCCGUCUUGAAACACGGACCAAGGAGUCGUCUUCGUAUGCGAGUGUUCGGGUGUUAAACCCCUACGCGUAAUGAAAGUGAACGCAGGUGAGAGCCCUCCAGGGCGCAUCAUCGACCGAUCCUGAUGUUCUCGGAUGGAUUUGAGUAAGAGCAUACGGGGCCGGACCCGAAAGAAGGUGAACUAUGCCUGUAUAGGGUGAAGCCAGAGGAAACUCUGGUGGAGGCUCGCAGCGGUUCUGACGUGCAAAUCGAUCGUCAAAUAUGGGCAUGGGGGCGAAAGACUAAUCGAACC